Molecule: ribosomal RNA, 328 nt
Filed under: uncultured eukaryote
Lineage: Eukaryota
Description: partial 18S ribosomal RNA
Rfam family: Eukaryotic small subunit ribosomal RNA
Source: RNAcentral
CCCUUAGAUGUCCGGGGCUGCACGCGCGCUACACUGAAGGAAUCAGCGUGCUAAAACCAUUGUCGAAAGGCAUUGGUAAACCCAUUAAAAUCCUACGUGAUUGGGAUCGGGAAUUGCAAUUAUUUCCCUUGAACGAGGAAUUCCCAGUAAGUGUGGGUCAUAAGCUCGCGUUGAUUACGUCCCUGCCCUUUGUACACACCGCCCGUCGCUGCCCGGGACUGAGCCGUUUCGAGAAAAGCGGGGACUGCUGCUGUCGGGGCUUUCGGGCCUUGGCUUCGGUGGAAACCGCUUUAAUCGCAGUGGCUUGAACCGGGCUAAAGUCGUAACA